This 767-nucleotide ribosomal RNA is filed under the name uncultured bacterium. RNAcentral describes it as "bacterial SSU rRNA". It matches the Rfam family "Bacterial small subunit ribosomal RNA", at positions 65 to 827 of the family's 1533-position model. The record is from RNAcentral.
CACGAAGAACGCUCCUUUCGGGAAGCUAGUACAGUGGCGGACGGGUGCGUAACGCGUAAACAACCUGCCUUCAAGCGGAGGAUAACCACGGGAAACUGUGGCUAAUACUGCAUAACGUCCAGAGGCCGCAUGGCCCCUGGAUCAAAGCCUUCGGGCGCUUGAAGAUGGGUUUGCGUCGGAUUAGCUCGUUGGUGAGGUAACGGCUCACCAAGGCAACGAUCCGUAGCUGGUCUGAGAGGAUGAUCAGUCACACUGGCACUGAGACACGGGCCAGACUCCUACGGGAGGCAGCAGUGGGGAAUCUUAGGCAAUGGGGGAAACCCUGACCUAGCCAUGCCGCGUGGAGGAAGACACCCCUAUGGGGCGUAAACUCCUUUUCUGUCGGAAGAAAACCCUGUUUUUCAGGGCGUGACGGUACGACAGGAAUAAGCACCGGCUAACUCCGUGCCAGCAGCCGCGGUAAUACGGAGGGUGCAAGCGUUGUCCGGAAUCACUGGGCGUAAAGGGUGCGCAGGCGGGGCAGCAAGUCGGAGGUGAAAGCCCACGGCUUAACCGUGGAAGUGCCUUCGAAACUGCUGCUCUUGAGUCCCAGAGAGGUCGCCGGAAUUCGUGGUGUAGCGGUGAAAUGCGUAGAUAUCACGAGGAACACCAGAGGCGUAAGCGGGCGACUGGAUGGGUACUGACGCUGAGGCACGAGAGCGUGGGGGAGCAACAGGAUUAGAUACCCUGGUAGUCCACGCCGUAAACGAUGGAUGCUCGCCGUUGUC